UUAGCGUUUCUUUGUUGAAACAAAUCUUUCUUUGUGUUUGAAAAUAUGGCUUUGGCUUUCACUUCAUCUGCAAUUCAUGGCUAUUUGUCCUCCUCUUCUUCUUCGUAUGAACACCCAAAGGUAACCCUUUACUCUUUUUUUUACCUUUUAUUGAUUCAAUCUUUAUCCUAGAAUGUGAUAAUUUCAAGCUUUUUAGCACCUCGGUUUCAAUUUUCUUGUGCGCUUGUAUCAGUUAUAUGUAGUUGUUUUUUCUCUGUUAUUUCAUGGCUCUUUUGUCUUCUUAUGAACAAUCCAAAGAUUUCCAUUACUUGUCCCUUUCAAAGUUUCAAUAUUUCUCCUAGAUUUGAUUGAUAUAUUUGGACAAUUUUAGCAUUUGGGCUCUUUUUUGUUUCAGAUUUUUGGUUUGUUUUGAUCCUUGUCUUCUUACUUAACAACCCAAAUGUAUAUGUUGAUUUUCCAUUUAAGAGUUUCAAUACUUAUCCUGAGUUUGAUUGGAGAAAUUUCAGAAUCUGAUUUGAAUUUUGUGUUAUUUGAUUUUGGGUUUUACCUAUUCUUUAAUUAAUUUGUUAUUGUGUGUAUGCAGUGUCCCAAUUGAAGAAGAAGAAAGGGGGGGGGGGGGGGGGGGUCAGAUGAGUGGGGAUGGGUGUGAUAGAUACUACCCAUUUUUGUAAAUGGGUCGGAUAAAGUAAAUGAGUUGAAAUAAUAUUCAUUUUUUGUUCCAGUCAAAGAUUGCCACGUGGCCCAAUUAAAAAUCGCUACAUCAUUAAAUGAAAGACUCACCAGUUCUGCCGUUAGUUGCGGGGGUAUUUUUGUUAAUAGAAUUAACUUCGUGUAUUUUUUUGAUCGGAUAAAUGGACGGAGUGUAUUUUUUUGAACGGAUAGAUAGACGAAGGGUAUUUAUAAACCAUUUAGCAAACUACAGGGAUAAUUUAGGCCCUUUUCCAUAGAAUUUUGUAAAAUCGUCUGAUUCGAUUUUGUGAAAAUAGCAUCAAGUAGCAUCGUUAACAGU
This 1009-nucleotide long non-coding RNA is filed under the name Nicotiana tabacum (common tobacco). RNAcentral's name for it is "long non-coding RNA (NTAB_LNC008553)". Lineage: Eukaryota; Viridiplantae; Streptophyta; Magnoliopsida; Solanales; Solanaceae. The record is from RNAcentral.